GUGGAAAGAUAAACGCUCCAUUAUCAGAUACAAAUAGGACUCGCUACAAGCACUGCCACUGACGGUGCUCCAGAACCAUACUGUACUGGAUCGCUGGACUGCCCAUGCUCGGAACCGAGGAAGCUGGACCUGUAGAGUCUGAGGCAGCA
This is a long non-coding RNA of Xiphophorus maculatus (southern platyfish), 149 nucleotides long. RefSeq lists it as uncharacterized. The record is from RefSeq and is a predicted model, not a curated record. Lineage: Eukaryota; Metazoa; Chordata; Actinopteri; Cyprinodontiformes; Poeciliidae. The transcript is spliced from 2 exons.